AACAGAGUCCUUACCACACCUUG
Molecule: microRNA, 23 nt
Filed under: Monodelphis domestica (gray short-tailed opossum)
Lineage: Eukaryota; Metazoa; Chordata; Mammalia; Didelphimorphia; Didelphidae
Description: mdo-miR-12401-5p
Source: miRBase by way of RNAcentral